Molecule: ribosomal RNA, 333 nt
Filed under: Rickettsiales bacterium
Lineage: Bacteria; Pseudomonadati; Pseudomonadota; Alphaproteobacteria; Rickettsiales
Description: bacterial LSU rRNA
Rfam family: Bacterial large subunit ribosomal RNA
Source: RNAcentral
GUACGCGAGCUGGGUUUAGAACGUCGUGAGACAGUUCGGUCCCUAUCUUCCGGGGUCGAAAGAAGGAUGAGGAGAGCUGCCCCUAGUACGAGAGGACCGGGGUGGACGAACCUCUAGUGUUCCAGUUGUUCAGCCGUGAGCAUUGCUGGGUAGCUACGUUCGGACAGGAUAACCGCUGAAAGCAUCUAAGUGGGAAGCCCCCUCCAAGAUAAGCCUUCUCUUUCGUAAGAACUAAAGGGCCGUGGAAGACCACCACGUUGAUAGGCCGGGUGUGGAAGCGCAGCAAUGCGUGGAGCUAACCGGUACUAAUCGCCCGUGAGGCUUGACAUAUAU